CAAAGUUAAUAAGGGCGCACGGUGGAUGCCUUGGCAUUAAGAGCCGAAGAAGGACGUGACUAACGACGAUAUUCUAGGGGGAGCAGUAAGUACGCAUUGAUCCCUAGGUCUCCGAAUGGGGAAACCCACUAUGUUAUGCAUAGUAUCCGUAAGUGAAUACAUAGCUUACGCGAAGGUAACGCAGAGAACUGAAACAUCUAAGUACCUGCAGGAAGAGAAAGUAAAAACGAUUUCCUAAGUAGCGGCGAGCGAACGGGAAACAGGCCAAACCAAGAAGCUUGCUUCUUGGGGUUGUAGGACUGCAACGUGGACUUAAAGUCUAUAGAAGAAUUACCUGGGAAGGUAAGCCAAAGAGAGUAAUAGCCUCGUAUUUGAAAUAGACUUUAUACCUAGCAGUAUCCUGAGUAGGGCUGGACACGCGAAAUCCAGUUUGAAUCCGGGAGGACCAUCUCCCAAGCCUAAAUACUCCUUAAUGACCGAUAGUGAACCAGUACCGUGAGGGAAAGGUGAAAAGAACCCCGGGAGGGGAGUGAAAUAGCACCUGAAACCGUGUGCCUACAAGAAGUUCGAGCCCGUCAAUGGGUGAGAGCGUGCCUUUUGUAGAAUGAACCGGCGAGUUACGUUAUGAUGCGAGGUUAAGCUGAAGAGGCGGAGCCGUAGCGAAAGCGAGUCUGAAUAGGGCGCUUUAGUAUCAUGAUGUAGACCCGAAACCUAGUGACCUAUCCAUGAGCAGGUUGAAGGUGCGGUAAGACGCACUGGAGGACCGAACCAGGACACGUUGAAAAGUGUUUGGAUGACUUGUGGAUAGCGGAGAAAUUCCAAACGAACUGGGAGAUAGCUGGUUCUCUCCGAAAUAGCUUUAGGGCUAGCGUCGCAAUUUAAGUGUAUUGGAGGUAGAGCACUGUUUGGAUGAGGGGCCCAUCUCGGGUUACCAAUUUCAGAUAAACUCCGAAUGCUAAUACACAUGUGCGGCAGUCAGACUGCGAGUGCUAAGAUCCGUAGUCGAAAGGGAAACAGCCCAGACCACCAGCUAAGGUCCCAAAAUAUAUGUUAAGUGGAAAAGGAUGUGGGGUUGCACAGACAACUAGGAUGUUAGCUCAGAAGCAGCUAUCAUUCAAAGAGUGCGUAAUAGCUCACUAGUCGAGUGACCCUGCGCCGAAAAUGUACCGGGGCUAAACAUAUUACCGAAGCUGUGGAUUUAAUAUUAAUUAAAUAGUAGGAGAGCGUUGUAAUCAGCGAUGAAGGUAUACCGUGAGGGGUGCUGGAGCGAUUACAAGUGAGAAUGCCGGUAUGAGUAGCGCAAGAUAAGUGAGAAUCUUAUCCACCGUAAGACUAAGGUUUCCAGGGGAAGGCUCGUCCGCCCUGGGUUAGUCGGGACCUAAGGCGAGGCCGAAAGGCGUAGUCGAUGGACAACAGGUUGAUAUUCCUGUACUAGUAUUGUUAGUGAUGGAGGGACGCAGUAGGCUAAAGGGAGCCAGUUAAUGGAUUCUGGUCUAAGCAGUGAGGUGUGGAAUGUGUCAAAUGCAUUUUCCUUUAACAUUGAGCUGUGAUGGGGAAGCAACUACGGUUGCGAAGCCCUUGAUGUCACACUGCCAAGAAAAUCUUCUAGCGUUUAAUUCAAUACUACCCGUACCGCAAACCGACACAGGUAGUCGAGGCGAGUAGCCUCAGGUGAUCGAGAGAACUCUCGUUAAGGAACUCGGCAAAAUGACCCCGUAACUUCGGGAGAAGGGGUGCUGUAGAAAUACAGCCGCAGUGAAAAGAUCCAAGCAACUGUUUAUCAAAAACACAGCUCUCUGCUAAACCGCAAGGUGAUGUAUAGGGGGUGACGCCUGCCCGGUGCUGGAAGGUUAAGAGGAGGGGUUAGACAUUAGUCGAAGCUCUGAAUUGAAGCCCCAGUAAACGGCGGCCGUAACUAUAACGGUCCUAAGGUAGCGAAAUUCCUUGUCGGGUAAGUUCCGACCCGCACGAAAGGCGUAAUGAUUUGGAUACUGUCUCAACGAGAGACUCGGUGAAAUUUUAGUACCUGUGAAGAUGCAGGUUACCCGCGACAGGACGGAAAGACCCCAUGGAGCUUUACUGCAGAUUGAUAUUGAGUACCUGUGAAGCAUGUACAGGAUAGGUAGGAGACUUUGACCUUGGGACGCUAGUUUCAAGUGAGUCGCUGUUGGGAUACUACCCUUGCUUCAUGGUUGCUCUAACCCACACGCAUAAUCGGCGUGGGAGACAGUGUCUGUCGGGCAGUUUGACUGGGGCGGUCGCCUCCUAAAGAGUAACGGAGGCGCCCAAAGGUUCCCUCAACAUGGUUGGAAAUCAUGUGUAGAGUGUAAAGGUAUAAGGGAGCUUGACUGCGAGAGCUACAACUCGAGCAGGUAGGAAACUAGGGCUUAGUGAUCCGGUGGUACCGCAUGGAAGGGCCAUCGCUCAACGGAUAAAAGCUACCCUGGGGAUAACAGGCUUAUCUCCCCCAAGAGUUCACAUCGACGGGGAGGUUUGGCACCUCGAUGUCGGCUCGUCGCAUCCUGGGGCUGUAGUCGGUCCCAAGGGUUGGGCUGUUCGCCCAUUAAAGCGGCACGCGAGCUGGGUUCAGAACGUCGUGAGACAGUUCGGUCCCUAUCCGUCGCGGGCGUAGGAAAUUUGAGAGGAUCUGCCCUUAGUACGAGAGGACCGGGGUGGACUUACC
Molecule: ribosomal RNA, 2683 nt
Filed under: Lactococcus garvieae ATCC 49156
Lineage: Bacteria; Bacillati; Bacillota; Bacilli; Lactobacillales; Streptococcaceae
Description: bacterial LSU rRNA
Rfam family: Bacterial large subunit ribosomal RNA
Source: RNAcentral